GGAAUAAAAUGACCGACCGCACUGACUGAGAUAGCCGAAUGCGGUUCCAUGCGAAUGGGCCCUGCAGUCGGUCCUGGAAUAAGGGAACAAAUUGCACGAAAGCCUCUAGCUAUAGAGGCUAGGGAGGGUUCGCCUGAAUCCCCUCGUUCGGUUCUUUCUAUCUACCGAACGAGGGGCCGUUCGGUAGUUAGGAACCGAACGGACCAGGCUUGUGGAGGAUUCAGCGGUGUUCACCUAGUCGAGUGUCCGAUUUGAGUUCCAGACACUCGACGGCAAAACACCGCUGUUCGGGAGUUUUAAAAUGGCCGCCGCCACGUGUUCGUUUGUAGAAUGGCGGCCACCCCCGAGAACAAAGGACGGCUACUUCCC
This is a non-coding RNA of Pelobates cultripes (western spadefoot toad), 369 nucleotides long. The record is from the annotation of a GenBank genome assembly. NCBI's taxonomy places the organism in Eukaryota, Metazoa, Chordata, Amphibia, Anura, Pelobatidae.